GCCGGGGUGGUGGAAUCUGGUAGACACACGGGACUUAAAAUCCCGAGGUUUAGUGAUAAGCCGUGCCGGUUCGAGUCCGGCCCCCGGUACCA
This 92-nucleotide transfer RNA is filed under the name Bdellovibrionales bacterium. Its description in RNAcentral is "tRNA-Leu". It matches the Rfam family "tRNA". Rfam says of the family: Transfer RNA (tRNA) molecules are approximately 80 nucleotides in length. Their secondary structure includes four short double-helical elements and three loops (D, anti-codon, and T loops). The record is from RNAcentral. Lineage: Bacteria; Pseudomonadati; Bdellovibrionota; Bdellovibrionia; Bdellovibrionales.